CUACGGGGGGCUGCAGUGAGGAAUAUUGCACAAUGGGGGGAACCCUGAUGCAGCAACGCCGCGUGGAGGAUGACGCAUUUCGGUGUGUAAACUCCUUUUAUAUGUCAAGAAAAUGACGGUAGCAUAUGAAUAAGCACCGGCUAACUCCGUGCCAGCAGCCGCGGUAAUACGGAGGGUGCAAGCGUUACUCGGAAUCACUGGGCGUAAAGGACGCGUAGGCGGGUUGGAAAGUCAGGUGUGAAAUCCUACAGCUUAACUGUAGAACUGCACUUGAAACUUCUAAUCUAGAGUAUGGGAGGGGGAGAUGGAAUUAGUGGUGUAGGGGUAAAAUCCGUAGAUAUCACUAGGAAUACCUAAAGCGAAGGCGAUCUCCUGGAGCAUUACUGACGCUAAGGCGUGAAAGCGCGGGGAGCAAACAGGAUUAGAUACCCCGGUAGUC
This 439-nucleotide ribosomal RNA is filed under the name uncultured bacterium. RNAcentral describes it as "partial 16S ribosomal RNA". It matches the Rfam family "Bacterial small subunit ribosomal RNA", at positions 339 to 795 of the family's 1533-position model. The record is from RNAcentral.